Regulatory RNA element from Stackebrandtia nassauensis DSM 44728, 111 nucleotides. It matches the Rfam family "mraW RNA". NCBI's taxonomy places the organism in Bacteria, Bacillati, Actinomycetota, Actinomycetes, Glycomycetales, Glycomycetaceae. The record is from Rfam.
AGGCUUCCGUACCGCCUGGUCCCCACCCGCCCACCGCGUACCUGACAUUCCUUCCCCGGUGCCAGGUAUGUGAUGGGGCGGUUGGGGUCCAGGCGAUACGGGCCAACGAGA